RNAcentral lists this ribosomal RNA (1107 nucleotides) under uncultured bacterium. Its description in RNAcentral is "bacterial SSU rRNA". It matches the Rfam family "Bacterial small subunit ribosomal RNA", at positions 53 to 1147 of the family's 1533-position model. The record is from RNAcentral.
GCAUGCAAGUCGCGCGGGAUCUUAUAGUUUGAAACUUCGGACGAUUUCUAUAAGUGAGAGCGGCGCAAGGGAGAGUAACGCGUAGUUACCUGCCCUAGGGUCCGGAAUAGCCUCGGGAAACUGAGGGUAAUGCCGGAUAAUGUCUUUGGAUCAAAGGUGUGAUUCCGCCCUAGGAGGGGACUGCGUCCUACUAGCUUGUUGGUGGGGUAACGGCCUACCAAGGCUUUGAUGGGUAGCGGGCGUGAGAGCGUGGCCCGCCUCACUGGGACUGAGACACUGCCCAGACACCUACGGGUGGCUGCAGUCGAGAAUCUUCGGCAAUGGGCGAAAGCCUGACCGAGCAACGCCGCGUGCGGGAUGAAUGCCUUCGGGUUGUAAACCGCUGUCAGUUGGGAGGAAAUCAAUAGGGGUUAUCCCCUAUAGUUGACCUAUCUUCAGAGGAAGUCCGGACUAAGUUCGUGCCAGCAGCCGCGGUAAGACGAACCGGACAAACGUUAUUCGGAAUCAUUGGGCUUAAAGGGUGCGCAGGCGGUGCGGUAAGUUAGGUGUGAAAGCCCUCGGCUCAACCGAGGAAUUGCGCUUAAUACUGCCGUGCUAGAGGGAGACAGAGGUAAGCGGAACUGAUGGUGGAGCGGUGAAAUGCGUUGAUAUCAUCAGGAACACCCGUGGCGUAAGCGGCUUACUGGGUCUCUUCUGACGCUGAGGCACGAAAGCUAGGGGAGCGAACGGGAUUAGAUACCCCGGUAGUCCUAGCUGUAAACGAUGAGCACUUGGUCGAGGAUCCCCCCAUAGAUUCUUGGCCGAAGCGAAAGUGUUAAGUGCUCCGCCUGGGGAGUAUGGUCGCAAGGGUGAAACUCAAAGGGAUUGACGGGGGCUCACACAAGCGGUGGAGGAUGUGGCUUAAUUCGAGGCUACGCGAAGAACCUUAUCCUAGAUUUGACAUGGUAGAAUGGCAUACCUGAAAGGGAUAUGUCUGCCUUCGGGUGAAACUAUCACAGGUGCUGCAUGGCUGUCGUCAGCUCGUGUCGUGAGAUGUCGGGUUAAGUCCCUUAACGAGCGACACCCUUAUCUUUAGUUGCCAGCGAGUAUGUCGGGGACUCUAGAGAG